Molecule: unclassified non-coding RNA, 254 nt
Filed under: Hevea brasiliensis (rubber tree)
Lineage: Eukaryota; Viridiplantae; Streptophyta; Magnoliopsida; Malpighiales; Euphorbiaceae
Source: RNAcentral
GCACCUUUUCAUUUUCCAGCAAAUGCUUAAAUAUCAACUGUGGCCCAGUGAAUCUACUAUCAAUUUCAUUUGAGAAUUAGAGGCGAAGAACACAUAAUAAUUACAUGGUGUAUUAUUCACAAAUAUGGGAAUAUCACAGAGGUGACUCCUUCCAUUUUAGCCUGUUAAGACUAUCCACUAUCGCCCUGCGAAAUGAACCAUUGUGGAGAAGGAAGGACGAUACAUGCCCUCCUCUAACCCAUCUAACUUCUGAG